This 72-nucleotide transfer RNA is filed under the name Camelus bactrianus (Bactrian camel). It matches the Rfam family "tRNA". From Rfam's summary of the family: Transfer RNA (tRNA) molecules are approximately 80 nucleotides in length. Their secondary structure includes four short double-helical elements and three loops (D, anti-codon, and T loops). Further hydrogen bonds mediate the characteristic L-shaped molecular structure. tRNAs have two regions of fundamental functional importance: the anti-codon, which is responsible for specific mRNA codon recognition, and the 3' end, to which the tRNAs corresponding amino acid is attached (by aminoacyl-tRNA synthetases). tRNAs cope with the degeneracy of the genetic code in two manners: having more than one tRNA (with a specific anti-codon) for a particular amino acid; and 'wobble' base-pairing, i.e. permitting non-standard base-pairing at the 3rd anti-codon position. The record is from Rfam by way of RNAcentral. RNAcentral also lists the same sequence under 2 other names. Lineage: Eukaryota; Metazoa; Chordata; Mammalia; Artiodactyla; Camelidae.
GAGGGUAUAGCUCAGUGGUAAAGUGCAUGCUUAGCAUGCACGAGGUUCUGGGUUCAAUCCCCAGUACCUCCA